AGCUUUUAUCAUGUAAGUCGCUCUGGAUAAGAGCGUCUGCUAAAUGACGUAAA
This is a non-coding RNA of Salmo salar (Atlantic salmon), 53 nucleotides long. Lineage: Eukaryota; Metazoa; Chordata; Actinopteri; Salmoniformes; Salmonidae. The record is from Rfam.